Molecule: ribosomal RNA, 505 nt
Filed under: uncultured bacterium
Lineage: Bacteria
Description: partial 16S ribosomal RNA
Rfam family: Bacterial small subunit ribosomal RNA
Source: RNAcentral
GACGAACGCUGGCGGCGUGCCUAAUACAUGCAAGUAGAACGCACAGUCUAUACUGUAGCUUGCUACACCAUAGACUGUGAGUUGCGAACGGGUGAGUAACGCGUAGGUAACCUGCCUGGUAGCGGGGGAUAACUAUUGGAAACGAUAGCUAAUACCGCAUAAUAUUAAUUAUUGCAUGAUAAUUUAUUGAAAGGUGCAAUUGCACCACUACCAGAUGGAUCUGCGUUGUAUUAGCUAGUAGGUGAGGUAACGGCUCACCUAGGCGGCGAUACAUAGCCGACCUGAGAGGGGGGUCGGCCACACUGGGACGGAGACACGGCCCAGACGCCUGCGGGAGGCAGCAGAAGGGAAUCGUCGGCAAUGGACGGGAGUCUGACAGAGCGACGCCGCGUGAGUGAAGGAGGUGUUCGGAUCGUAAAGCUCUGUUGUGAGAGGAGAACGGGUUUGGGAGUGGAAAGUUCACACUGUGACGGUAUCUAACCAGAAAGCGACGGCUAACUACGUG